This 496-nucleotide ribosomal RNA is filed under the name uncultured bacterium. RNAcentral describes it as "partial 16S ribosomal RNA". It matches the Rfam family "Bacterial small subunit ribosomal RNA", at positions 28 to 506 of the family's 1533-position model. The record is from RNAcentral.
GAUGAACGCUGGCGGCGUGCCUAAUACAUGCCAGUCGAGCGAACAGAUGAGGAGCUUGCUCCUCUGACGUUAGCGGCGGACGGGUGAGUAACACGUGGAUAACCUACCUAUAAGACUGGGAUAACUUCGGGAAACCGGAGCUAAUACCGGAUAAUAUAUUGAACCGCAUGGUUCAAUAGUGAAAGACGGUUUUGCUGUCACUUAUAGAUGGAUCCGCGCCGCAUUAGCUAGUUGGUAAGGUAACGGCUUACCAAGGCAACGAUGCGUAGCCGACCUGAGAGGGUGAUCGGCCACACUGGAACUGAGACACGGUCCAGACUCCUACGGGAGGCAGCAGUAGGGAAUCUUCCGCAAUGGGCGAAAGCCUGACGGAGCAACGCCGCGUGAGUGAUGAAGGUCUUCGGAUCGUAAAACUCUGUUAUUAGGAAAGAACAAAUGUGUAAGUAACUAUGCACGUCUUGACGGUACCUAAUCAGAAAGCCACGGCUAACUACGU